GACGAACGCUGGCGGCGUGCUUAACACAUGCAAGUCGAACGCUGAAGCUUGGUGCUUGCCCUGGGUGGAUGAGUGGCGAACGGGUGAGUAAUACGUGAGUAACCUGCCCUUGACUCUGGGAUAAGCCUGGGAAACUGGUUCUAAUACUGGAUACGACAUGCCACUGCAUGGUGGUGUGUGGAAAGGGUUUUACUGGUUUUGGAUGGGCUCACGGCCUAUCAGCUUGUUGGUGGGGUAAUGGCCUACCAAGGCGACGACGGGUAGCCGGCCUGAGAGGGUGACCGGCCACACUGGGACUGAGACACGGCCCAGACUCCUACGGGAGGCAGCAGUGGGGAAUAUUGCACAAUGGGCGGAAGCCUGAUGCAGCGACGCCGCGUGAGGGAUGACGGCCUUCGGGUUGUAAACCUCUUUCAGCACGGAAGAAGCGAGAGUGACGGUACGUGCAGAAGAAGCGCCGGCUAACUACGUG
Molecule: ribosomal RNA, 472 nt
Filed under: uncultured bacterium
Lineage: Bacteria
Description: partial 16S ribosomal RNA
Rfam family: Bacterial small subunit ribosomal RNA
Source: RNAcentral